GAUUAUGGCUCAGGAUGAACGCUAGCGACAGGCUAACACAUGCAAGUCGAGGGGCAGCAUAAAAGUAGCAAUACUUGGUGGCGACCGGCGCACGGGUGAGUAACGCGUAUGCAACCUACCUAUCAGAGGGGAAUAACCCGGCGAAAGUCGGACUAAUACCGCAUAAAACAGGGGCACCGCAUGGUGAUAUUUGUUAAAGAAAUUCGCUGAUAGAUGGGCAUGCGUUCCAUUAGGUAGUUGGUGAGGUAACGGCUCACCAAGCCGACGAUGGAUAGGGGAACUGAGAGGUUGGUCCCCCACACUGGUACUGAGACACGGACCAGACCCCUACGGGAGGCAGCAGUGAGGAAUAUUGGUCAAUGGGCGGGAGCCUGAACCAGCCAAGUCGCGUGAAGGAAAAGAAGGAUCUAUGGUUCGUAAACUUCUUUUGCAGGGGAAUAAAGUGCAGGACGUGUCCUGUUUUGUAUGUACCCUGAGAAUAAGGAUCGGCUAACUCCGUGCCAGCAGCUGC
RNAcentral lists this ribosomal RNA (511 nucleotides) under uncultured bacterium. RNAcentral describes it as "bacterial SSU rRNA". It matches the Rfam family "Bacterial small subunit ribosomal RNA", at positions 15 to 518 of the family's 1533-position model. The record is from RNAcentral.